UACAUCUUUUGUAUCUGCCCACUCAUUUGA
Molecule: non-coding RNA, 30 nt
Filed under: Mus musculus (house mouse)
Lineage: Eukaryota; Metazoa; Chordata; Mammalia; Rodentia; Muridae
Source: RNAcentral